GACGAACCGUGCGAACGUUGUUCGGAAUCACUGGGCUUAAAGGGCGCGUAGGCGGGCCCACAAGUCCGGGGUGAAAUCUUUCGGCUUAACCGGAAAAGUGCCUUGGAUACUGGGGGCCUUGAGGGAGGCAGGGGCGGAUGGAACUUCCGGUGGAGCGGUGAAAUGCGUUGAUAUCGGAAGGAACGCCGGUGGCGAAAGCGAUCCGCUGGACCUCUACUGACGCUGAGGCGCGAAAGCCAGGGGAGCAAACGGGAUUAGAUACCCCGGUAGUCCUGGCCCUAAACGAUGGGUACUAGACUGUGGGCUUGACAUGGGCUCCCAGUCGAAGCAAAAGUGUUAAGUACCCCGCCUGGGGAGUAUGGUCGCAAGGCUGAA
RNAcentral lists this ribosomal RNA (375 nucleotides) under uncultured bacterium. Its description in RNAcentral is "bacterial SSU rRNA". It matches the Rfam family "Bacterial small subunit ribosomal RNA", at positions 524 to 898 of the family's 1533-position model. The record is from RNAcentral.